This 786-nucleotide ribosomal RNA is filed under the name uncultured bacterium. Its description in RNAcentral is "bacterial SSU rRNA". It matches the Rfam family "Bacterial small subunit ribosomal RNA", at positions 538 to 1305 of the family's 1533-position model. The record is from RNAcentral.
ACGUUGUCCGGAAUUACUGGGCGUAAAGAGCUCGUAGGCGGUUCGUCACGUCGUCUGUGAAAUCCUCCAGCCCAACUGGGGGCGUGCAGGCGAUACGGGCAGACUUGAGUACUACAGGGGAGACUGGAAUUCCUGGUGUAGCGGUGAAAUGCGCCGAUAUCCAGAGAGAGCACCGGUGGCGAAAGCGGGUCUCUGGGUAGUAACUGACGCUGAGGAGCGAAAGCAUGGGGAGCAAACAGGAUUAGAUACCCUGGUAGUCCAUGCCGUCCGACGGUGGGCGCGCGGUGUGUGUGUCGGUCCUCCGAUGCAGUUCCGGAGCUAACGUCAUGACCGCGUUCCGCCCGGCGAGUGGAGGAGUACGGCCAAGAUGCUAAUGAAUCGAGUGAGGUCGGACGGGCGGCCCGAACAGGCGGAGGAUCAUGUGGAUUAAUUCGAUGACACCUCAAUUAACCUUACCUAUGCUUGACAUAUACAGGACGACGGCAGAGAUGUCGUUUCCCUUGUGGCUUGUAUACAGGUGGUGCAUGGUUGUCGUCAGCUCGUGUCGUGAGAUGUUGGGUUAAGUCCCGCAACGAGCGCAACUCCUGUCUCAUGUUGCCAGCACGUUAUGGUGGGGACUCGUGAGAGACUGCCGGGGUCAACUCGGAGGAAGGUGGGGAUGACGUCAAAUCAUCAUGCCCCUUAUGUCUAAGGCUUCACACAUGCUACAAUGGCUAGUACAGAGGGCUGCGAGACCGCGACGGUGGAGCGAAUCCCUUAAAGCUAGUCUCGGUUCGGAUUGGGGUC